GACGAACGCUGGCGGCGUGCUUAACACAUGCAAGUCGAACGGAGAGGCCCUGCUUUUGUGGGGUGCUCGAGUGGCGAACGGGUGAGUAACACGUGAGUAACCUGCCCUUGACUUUGGGAUAACUUCAGGAAACUGGGGCUAAUACCGGAUAGGAGCUCCUGCUGCAUGGUGGGGGUUGGAAAGUUUCGGCGGUUGGGGAUGGACUCGCGGCUUAUCAGCUUGUUGGUGGGGUAGUGGCUUACCAAGGCUUUGACGGGUAGCCGGCCUGAGAGGGUGACCGGCCACAUGGGGCCUGAGAUACGGCCCAGACUCCUACGGGGGGCAGCAGUGGGGAAUAUUGCACAAUGGGCGGAAGCCUGAUGCAGCAACGCCGCGUGCGGGAUGACGGCCUUCGGGUUGUAAACCGCUUUCGCCUGUGACGAAGCGUGAGUGACGGUAAUGGGUAAAGAAGCACCGGCUAACUACGUG
RNAcentral lists this ribosomal RNA (468 nucleotides) under uncultured bacterium. RNAcentral's name for it is "partial 16S ribosomal RNA". It matches the Rfam family "Bacterial small subunit ribosomal RNA", at positions 28 to 507 of the family's 1533-position model. The record is from RNAcentral.